GGAGAGAUGGCUGAGUGGUUGAAAGCACCGGUCUUGAAAACCGACGAACGUUAAUAGCGUUCCCAGGGUUCGAAUCCCUGUCUCUCCACCA
This 91-nucleotide transfer RNA is filed under the name Vibrio parahaemolyticus. RNAcentral's name for it is "tRNA-Ser". It matches the Rfam family "tRNA". Rfam says of the family: Transfer RNA (tRNA) molecules are approximately 80 nucleotides in length. Their secondary structure includes four short double-helical elements and three loops (D, anti-codon, and T loops). Further hydrogen bonds mediate the characteristic L-shaped molecular structure. tRNAs have two regions of fundamental functional importance: the anti-codon, which is responsible for specific mRNA codon recognition, and the 3' end, to which the tRNAs corresponding amino acid is attached (by aminoacyl-tRNA synthetases). tRNAs cope with the degeneracy of the genetic code in two manners: having more than one tRNA (with a specific anti-codon) for a particular amino acid; and 'wobble' base-pairing, i.e. permitting non-standard base-pairing at the 3rd anti-codon position. The record is from RNAcentral. Lineage: Bacteria; Pseudomonadati; Pseudomonadota; Gammaproteobacteria; Vibrionales; Vibrionaceae. RNAcentral also lists the same sequence under 1 other name.